This 334-nucleotide unclassified non-coding RNA is filed under the name soil metagenome. RNAcentral describes it as "partial contains 5.8S ribosomal RNA, internal transcribed spacer 2, and large subunit ribosomal RNA". The stretch from base 1 to 120 matches the Rfam family "5.8S ribosomal RNA", at positions 35 to 154 of the family's 154-position model. The record is from RNAcentral.
GAUGAAGAACGUAGCGAAAUGAGAUAAGUAAUGUGAAUUGCAGAAUUCAGGGAAUCAUCGAAUCUUUGAACGCACAUUGCGCCCGCCAGUAUUCUGGCGGGCAUGCCUGUUCGAGCGUCAUUUCAACCAUCAAGCCCCGGGCUUGUGUUGGGGACCUGCGGCUGCCGCAGGCCCUGAAAUGCAGUGGCGGGCUCGCUGUCACUCCGAGCGUAGUAGUUACAUCUCGCUCUGGGCGUGCUGCGGGUUCCGGCCGUUAAAAGCCUUAUUUACCCAAGGUUGACCUCGGAUCAGGUAGGAAGACCCGCUGAACUUAAGCAUAUCAAUAAGCGGAGGA